CACGUAGUUAGCCGUGGCUUUCUGGUUAGAUACCGUCACUAGGUAAACAGUUACUCUUACCUACAUUCUUCUCUAACAACAGAGCUUUACGAUCCGAAAACCUUCUUCACUCACGCGGCGUUGCUCCAUCAGACUUUCGUCCAUUGUGGAAGAUUCCCUACUGCUGCCUCCCGUAGGAGUUUGGGCCGUGUCUCAGUCCCAAUGUGGCCGAUCACCCUCUCAGGUCGGCUACGUAUCAUUGCCUUGGUGGGCCUUUACCUCACCAACUAGCUAAUACGCCGCGGGUCCAUCCAAAAGUGACAGCUUACGCCGUCUUUCAUUAUCAAACCAUGCGGUUUAACAAAUUAUGCGGUAUUAGCACCUGUUUCCAAGUGUUACUCCCCCUCUUUUGGGCAGGUUACCCACGUGUUACUCACCCGUUCGCCACUCAUUGUCUUCGGUGAGUGCAAGCACUCGGUGAAGAACAUGCGUUCGACUUGCUAUGUAUUAGGCACGGCCGCCAGGC
Molecule: ribosomal RNA, 505 nt
Filed under: uncultured Lactobacillus sp.
Lineage: Bacteria; Bacillati; Bacillota; Bacilli; Lactobacillales; Lactobacillaceae
Description: partial 16S ribosomal RNA
Source: RNAcentral